RNAcentral lists this small RNA (115 nucleotides) under Halothermothrix orenii. RNAcentral's name for it is "Guanidine-I sequence". It matches the Rfam family "Guanidine-I riboswitch aptamer". From Rfam's summary of the family: This family represents a conserved RNA structure found upstream of the ykkC and yxkD genes in Bacillus subtilis and related genes in other bacteria. The function of this family is unclear although it has been suggested that it may function to switch on efflux pumps and detoxification systems in response to harmful environmental molecules. Nelson showed that this riboswitch senses and responds to guanidine and it was renamed Guanidine-I riboswitch. Lineage: Bacteria; Bacillati; Bacillota; Clostridia; Halanaerobiales; Halothermotrichaceae. The record is from RNAcentral. RNAcentral also lists the same sequence under 1 other name.
GGGAAGUGCACCUAGGGUUCCGCUGUUCAGCUGUCUGCUGACCUGGUCUGGUCCGAGUGGUGCAGGUAUGCACUUUUGGUGUAUACUACACCGGAAGGAUAAAAGCCUGGACGGG